CUACGGGGGGCUGCAGUGGGGAAUAUUGCACAAUGGGCGAAAGCCUGAUGCAGCAACGCCGCGUGGAGGAUGACACAUUUCGGUGCGUAAACUCCUUUUAUAUAAGAAGAUAAUGACGGUAUUAUAUGAAUAAGCACCGGCUAACUCCGUGCCAGCAGCCGCGGUAAUACGGGGGGUGCAAGCGUUACUCGGAAUCACUGGGCGUAAAGAGCAUGUAGGCUGGAUGACAAGUUGGAAGUGAAAUCCUAUGGCUUAACCAUAGAACUGCUUCCAAAACUGUCUUCCUAGAGUAUGGGAGAGGUAGAUGGAAUUUCUGGUGUAGGGGUAAAAUCCGUAGAGAUCAGAAGGAAUACCGAUUGCGAAGGCGAUCUACUGGAACAUUACUGACGCUCAGAUGCGAAAGCGUGGGGAGCAAACAGGAUUAGAUACCCGCGUAGUC
Molecule: ribosomal RNA, 439 nt
Filed under: uncultured bacterium
Lineage: Bacteria
Description: partial 16S ribosomal RNA
Rfam family: Bacterial small subunit ribosomal RNA
Source: RNAcentral